Molecule: ribosomal RNA, 246 nt
Filed under: uncultured bacterium
Lineage: Bacteria
Description: partial 16S ribosomal RNA
Rfam family: Bacterial small subunit ribosomal RNA
Source: RNAcentral
AGUAACGCGUGGGUAACCUGCCUCAUACAGGGGGAUAACAGUUAGAAAUGACUGCUAAUACCGCAUAAGCGCACAGUGCUGCAUGGCACAGUGUGAAAAACUCCGGUGGUAUGAGAUGGACCCGCGUCUGAUUAGCUAGUUGGUGGGGUAACGGCCCACCAAGGCGACGAUCAGUAGCCGGACUGAGAGGUUGAACGGCCACAUUGGGACUGAGACACGGCCCAGACUCCUACGGGAGGCAGCAUG